Molecule: long non-coding RNA, 410 nt
Organism: Echinops telfairi (small Madagascar hedgehog)
Lineage: Eukaryota; Metazoa; Chordata; Mammalia; Afrosoricida; Tenrecidae
Exons: 3
Source: RefSeq, a predicted model, not a curated record
CGCACUUACAGGAGCUCUACUCAGGAGCUUUUACGCAAGAGCUAGAAGGAUCCCUGGUGGCCCUGUGGGUUAUACGUUGAGCUGCUAGUCUCCAGAACAAUGCCUGUCGCGUCCCAGCAGCUGCCAGAGGCCUGCAGUUCCAAACAGGCUCAUCAUGAUCAUCCUCCAGCAGGAGCCAAGAUGGUCAUAGAAGGCUAUGUAACCAUGGAAGAUGGGCUGCAGAAAGUGGCGUGGUGAAAGAAACAGAGAUCAGAGAAGAGUUAAAAGAUGAAAUGCUGCUGAUUUUGCCAAGGACUAUAAGUGGCCUUUCGAAACUGGAAAAUACAAGGGAGCAAAUUCUUCCCCCUAGAGCAGUGGUUCUCACCAGUCCUAAUGCCGCGACCCUUUAAUACAGUUCCUCAUGUUGUGGU